AGGGGUAUAGUUUAACGGUAGAACGACGGUCUCCAAAACCGUUGGUGGGGUUCGAUUCCCUCUACCCCUG
Molecule: transfer RNA, 70 nt
Filed under: Weissella cibaria
Lineage: Bacteria; Bacillati; Bacillota; Bacilli; Lactobacillales; Lactobacillaceae
Description: tRNA-Trp
Rfam family: tRNA
About the family: Transfer RNA (tRNA) molecules are approximately 80 nucleotides in length. Their secondary structure includes four short double-helical elements and three loops (D, anti-codon, and T loops).
Source: RNAcentral